GGCGGAGACCGGAGAUGUUUUCGAGCCCGGCCUCGGCGGCGUUCGCGGCGGUUGCGGCGGCGGUGGCGGAGAGCACGACAGCGACGGCGGAGCCGAGGCCUUCGUCCCGGGGGUAGACCCUCCCGCGCCGGCCGUGCCUGGGGUCUGUGCGGGCGAGGGGGGCGUGGCGACAGGCGAGGAGGAAGGAGGGGCGCGGUUUCGAGCCCCGGCCCCGGCGCCCGGGAGGAGCCCCUCAGUCGCGCCCGCUCCCGUCUCCUCCCCAGAGCGAGAAACAGAUAAACCUAGGAGAAGAAAGCUAUGGAGUGUUUAUAGCAUAACUAACAACCUGUAGAGGAACAAACUAGUGAUGAUACCAGUGCUUGAAUGCUCUUCAGAAUCCAUUUCAUUGUAAGUUAAAAUACUCUUCCAAAGAGUUAUCAUCCUGUGAAAAAAGGAAAUGAUAGUAAAAUGUUUUGUUUUGUUUUUAAAGAGACUAUCAGGCUGCCUAAUGUGGUUAUUUUAAAAUUAGAUGGUAACCCACACACCCACAUACAUACACAUUGUGUUUAGUAUGGUAGGGAAAUCCGCUAUUUUUAAUUUUUCUAAGUGAAUUCUUUUCUGAGAUCUUUUAUAUGAUUAAAAAUGAUCCAUCAUUUAAUUUGUUUUUCAAACUUCCCUGAUGAUAAGAACCACUGGGAUAUUUAUUGAAAGGACAAAUUCCUACGUCUUUUUCAGACCUACUAAAUGUGUAGCACUUAUCAUCGAGGACUUCUGGGGCCACUAUUGUUUAUUAUCUUGAUAAAUUUUAAGUUGUUAAUGGAUUCAGUUUUUUUGACUAGUAAUCAGAUGAUGUAACUUGUGCUAAGUACAGAUUCUGUGACUAUUUAGAGAGCUGUGAAAUUUCUAAGUGUUUUUGAGAGUAGCAUACAUGUAGGAAGGGGGAACAGUGGAAGGUGACACUGAAUAUAUAGAUGGUUCAAGACAAUGAUACUAACCAACCAGAAAUAGUCACCCAUCCAUUACUCACCACUGUGUAAGAAAUUUAAUGAGUUUUUGGUAUAAUUUUGACUCAGCUUAAAAAAAAACAAAAAACAAAAAACAACCAACCUUUGUUCUUAAAGUGCUUACACUAAAAGAAUAAAUGGCAUAUGUGCAGUUUCUUCAUCCAAAGGAUGUUUAGUUUAUACUCAAGUUUUUGAUGUACCUAUAUUUGCUAUCUUGGUACUUCUGAAUAGCAACUGGAAUAGUUUAUUAGAAACAAAGUUAUUCAGAUAGCAAUACUAUUAAAGAUAAUUUUUUUUUAGUAUCCCUUGAAUGAUCACAAACAGGAACAUCAUUUUAAAAAAAACUUUAGAAUGCUGAAUCACUUUUAGAAAAAGAUAUGUUUUACUACUGUGAUUAAGUAGAGUAGAAAAACUCUUGAAUAUAAUAGCAUACAUUU
RNAcentral lists this long non-coding RNA (1420 nucleotides) under Capra hircus (goat). Its description in RNAcentral is "lncRNA (ENSCHIG00010030393.1)". Lineage: Eukaryota; Metazoa; Chordata; Mammalia; Artiodactyla; Bovidae. The record is from RNAcentral.